GAUGAACGCUGGCGGCGUGCCUAAUACAUGCAAGUCGAGCGAACAGACGAGGAGCUUGCUCCUCUGACGUUAGCAGCGGACGGGUGAGUAACACGUGGAUAACCUACCUAUAAGACUGGGAUAACUUCGGGAAACCGGAGCUAAUACCGGAUAAUAUAUUGAACCGCAUGGUUCAAUAGUGAAAGACGGUUUUGCUGUCACUUAUAGAUGGAUCCGCGCCGCAUUAGCUAGUUGGUAAGGUAACGGCUUACCAAGGCAACGAUGCGUAGCCGACCUGAGAGGGGGAUCGACCACACUGAAACUGAGACACGGUCCAGACUCCGAGGGGAGGCAGAAGUAGGGAAUCUUCCGCGAUGGGCGAAAGCCUGACGGAGCAACGCCGCGUGAGUGAUGAAGGUCUUCGGAUCGUAAAACUCUGUUAUUAGGGAAGAACAAAUGUGUAAGUAACUAUGCACGUCUUGACGGUACCUAAUCAGAAAGCCACGGCUAACUACGUG
RNAcentral lists this ribosomal RNA (497 nucleotides) under uncultured bacterium. RNAcentral's name for it is "partial 16S ribosomal RNA". It matches the Rfam family "Bacterial small subunit ribosomal RNA", at positions 28 to 507 of the family's 1533-position model. The record is from RNAcentral.